GUGAGGAAUAUUCCACAAUGGGGGAAACCCUGAUGGAGCGAUGCCGCGUGCAGGAAGACGCUUUUCGGAGUGUAAACUGCUUUUAAUAGGGAAGAUUAUGACGGUACCUAUAGAAAAAGGACCGGCUAACUACGUGCCAGCAGCCGCGGUAAUACGUAGGGUCCAAGCGUUAUUCGGAAUUACUGGGCGUAAAGCGUACGUAGGCGGUUUGGUAAGUUGGAUGUGAAAUCCCCCUGCUCAACGGGGUGGACUGUGUCCAAAACUACCUAACUAGAGCAUAGUAGAGGCAAGUGGAAUUUGCGGUGUAGGAGUGACAUCCGUAGAUAUCGCAAGGAACACCAAUGGCGAAGGCAGCUUGCUGGGCUAUUGCUGACGCUCAGGUACGAAAGCGUGGGGAGCGAACGGGAUUAGAAACCCCGGUAGUCC
This 426-nucleotide ribosomal RNA is filed under the name uncultured bacterium. RNAcentral's name for it is "bacterial SSU rRNA". It matches the Rfam family "Bacterial small subunit ribosomal RNA", at positions 354 to 796 of the family's 1533-position model. The record is from RNAcentral.